This 377-nucleotide unclassified non-coding RNA is filed under the name uncultured delta proteobacterium. RNAcentral describes it as "contains 16S-23S intergenic spacer region". The record is from RNAcentral. Lineage: Bacteria; Deltaproteobacteria.
UCCGGGUUAACCCCGGCAGUCUCCCUAGAGUGCCCAACUUAAUGCUGGCAACUAAGGACAGGGGUUGCGCUCGUUGCGAGACUUAACCCAACAUUUCACAACACGAGCUGACGACAGCCAUGCAGCGCCUGUCUCCGAGCUCCCUUGCGGGCACUUCUCCAUCUCUGGAAAAUUCUCGGGAUUUCAAACCCAGGUAAGGUUUUUCGCGUUGCUUCGAAUUAAACCACAUGAUCCACCGCUUGUGCGGGCCCCCGUCAAUUCCUUUGAGUUUUAGUCUUGCGACCGUACUCCUCAGGCGGAACACUUAUCGCGUUAGCUGCGUCACGGAAGCGUAACCGCCCCCAUAACUAGUGUUCAUCGUUUACGGCGUGGACUAC